Non-coding RNA from Spodoptera litura, 372 nucleotides. Lineage: Eukaryota; Metazoa; Arthropoda; Insecta; Lepidoptera; Noctuidae. The record is from RefSeq and is a predicted model, not a curated record.
CAGAAAUGUCAGUCGUCAGAUUGUUUACGAAGUGGUUUGUAUUGGUUUAUUUAUUUUUGGGCAGACUGAGAUAAGUCAUCGUGACAUGACAUGAUUGGACAUGAUAACGUGAACCAGCAAUGGCUAAUGAUUCAUUUUCAAAUUAAAAUGUUAUCUAAAAAAGGUUGAAGUAGAAGAGCCGGAAAAAAACACCAUGGCUGAGCAGGGCACUACAGUGGAGCUGUACAUAUAUGAUCUUACUAAUGGACUUGCCUCAAUACUCUCACCCUCUAUACUGGGGCGUCAGAUCGAGGGAGUCUGGCACACUGCCGUUGUGGUGUAUGAUCGGGAGUUCUUCUACGGCGGAAGCGGUAUCACGAGCUGCGCACCGGU